RNAcentral lists this ribosomal RNA (415 nucleotides) under uncultured bacterium. RNAcentral describes it as "bacterial SSU rRNA". It matches the Rfam family "Bacterial small subunit ribosomal RNA", at positions 87 to 518 of the family's 1533-position model. The record is from RNAcentral.
GUGACUUAGUGGCGGACGGGUGAGUAACGCGUGGGUAACCUGCCUUAUGCAGGGGGAUAACAGUAGAAAUGGACUGCUAAUACCGCAUAAGCGCACAGCACCGCAUGAUGCAGUGUGAAAAGAUUUAUCGGCAUAAGACUGGACCCGCGUCUGAUUAGGUAGUUGGUGAGGUAACGGCCCACCAAGCCUGCGAUCAGUAGCCGACUUGAGAGAGUGAUCGGCCACAUUGGGACUGAGACACGGCCCAGACUCCUACGGGAGGCAGCAGUAGGGAAUAUUGCACAAUGGGGGAAACCCUGAUGCAGCGACGCCGCGUGAGUGAUUGAAGCAUUUCGGUGCGUAAAGCUCUAUCAGCAGGGAAGAUAAUGACGGUACCUGACUAAGAAGCCCCGGCUAACUACGUGCCAGCAGCUGC